CCUACGGGGGGCAGCAGUGGGGAAUAUUGCACAAUGGGCGCAAGCCUGAUGCAGCCAUGCCGCGUGUGUGAAGAAGGCCUUCGGGUUGUAAAGCACUUUCAGCGGGGAGGAAGGCGGUGAGGUUAAUAACCUCAUCGAUUGACGUUACCCGCAGAAGAAGCACCGGCUAACUCCGUGCCAGCAGCCGCGGUAAUACGGAGGGUGCAAGCGUUAAUCGGAAUUACUGGGCGUAAAGCGCACGCAGGCGGUCUGUCAAGUCGGAUGUGAAAUCCCCGGGCUCAACCUGGGAACUGCAUUCGAAACUGGCAGGCUAGAGUCUUGUAGAGGGGGGUAGAAUUCCAGGUGUAGCGGUGAAAUGCGUAGAGAUCUGGAGGAAUACCGGUGGCGAAGGCGACUCUCUGGUCUGUAACUGACGCUGAGGAGCGAAAGCGUGGGGAGCGAACAGGAUUAGAUACCCUGGUAGUC
Molecule: ribosomal RNA, 465 nt
Filed under: uncultured Klebsiella sp.
Lineage: Bacteria; Pseudomonadati; Pseudomonadota; Gammaproteobacteria; Enterobacterales; Enterobacteriaceae
Description: bacterial SSU rRNA
Rfam family: Bacterial small subunit ribosomal RNA
Source: RNAcentral